Molecule: unclassified non-coding RNA, 433 nt
Filed under: soil metagenome
Description: partial contains 5.8S ribosomal RNA, internal transcribed spacer 2, and large subunit ribosomal RNA
Rfam family: 5.8S ribosomal RNA (bases 1-120)
Source: RNAcentral
GAUGAAGAACGCAGCGAAAUGCGAUACGUAAUGUGAAUUGCAGAAUUCAGUGAAUCAUCGAAUCUUUGAACGCAUAUUGCGCUCUCCGGUAUUCCGGAGAGCAUGCUUGUUUGAGUAUCAGUAAACACCUCAACUUCCAUAUCUUUUUUUGAAAUGGGAGUUGGACUUGAGUGAUCCCAACGCUUUUCCUCACCGAAAAGUGGCGGGUUACUUGAAAUGCAGGUGCAGCUGGACUUUUCUCUGAGCUAUAAGCAUAUCUAUUUAGUCUGCCUAAAAAACAGAUUAUUACCUUUGCUGCAGCUAACAUAAAGGAGAUUAGUUCUUGUGCUGACUGAUGCAGGAUUCACAAAGACAGCUUCGGCCGACUUUGUAAACUCGAUCUCAAAUCAAGUAAGACUACCCGCUGAACUUAAGCAUAUCAAUAAGCGGAGGA